UAACGCGUGAGGAACCUGCCUCAAAGAGGGGACAACAGUUGGAAACGACUGCUAAUACCGCAUAAGCCCACAGCUCGGCAUCGAGCAGAGGGAAAAGGAGUGAUCCGCUUUGAGAUGGCCUCGCGUCCGAUUAGCUGGUUGGUGAGGUAACGGCCCACCAAGGCGACGAUCGGUAGCCGGACUGAGAGGUUGAACGGCCACAUUGGGACUGAGACACGGCCCAG
Molecule: ribosomal RNA, 224 nt
Filed under: uncultured bacterium
Lineage: Bacteria
Description: partial 16S ribosomal RNA
Rfam family: Bacterial small subunit ribosomal RNA
Source: RNAcentral